RNAcentral lists this ribosomal RNA (251 nucleotides) under uncultured bacterium. RNAcentral's name for it is "partial 16S ribosomal RNA". It matches the Rfam family "Bacterial small subunit ribosomal RNA", at positions 83 to 334 of the family's 1533-position model. The record is from RNAcentral.
CACUGGUGGCGACCGGCGCACGGGUGAGUAACACGUGUGCAACCAACCCCGUACCGGGAGAUAACCCGCGGAAACGUGGACUAACAUCCCAUGAGACUCUAGAUCCGCAUGGCUCUAGAUUUAAAAUUCCGGUGGUACGGGACGGGCACGCGCGACAUUAGGUAGUUGGCGGGGUAAGGGCCCACCAAGCCGACGAUGUCUAGGGGUUCUGAGAGGAAGGCCCCCCACACUGGAACUGAGACACGGUCCAG